Molecule: ribosomal RNA, 305 nt
Filed under: uncultured bacterium
Lineage: Bacteria
Description: bacterial SSU rRNA
Rfam family: Bacterial small subunit ribosomal RNA
Source: RNAcentral
UCCUACGGGGGGCAGCAGUGGGGGAUAUUGCACAAUGGGGGAAACCCUGAUGCAGCGACGCCGCGUGGGUGAAGAAGCGCCUCGGCGCGUAAAGCCCUGUCAGCAGGGAAGAAAAUGACGGUACCUGAAGAAGAAGCCCCGGCUAACUACGUGCCAGCAGCCGCGGUAAUACGUAGGGGGCAAGCGUUAUCCGGAUUUACUGGGUGUAAAGGGGGCGCAGACGGCGAUGCAAGCCAGGAGUGAAAGCCCGGGGCCCAACACCGGGACUGCUCUUGGAACUGCGUGGCUAGAUAGCAGGAGGGGCG